Molecule: unclassified non-coding RNA, 219 nt
Filed under: Hevea brasiliensis (rubber tree)
Lineage: Eukaryota; Viridiplantae; Streptophyta; Magnoliopsida; Malpighiales; Euphorbiaceae
Source: RNAcentral
AGCUCCAUUUGGCAUUAAGAAUUUGCUUAUUAGAAAAGCAUAAUUUUAGAUGUUAUCAGAGUAUUGAAAUCCUAAUUCUGAUAUUUGAACACGAAACAGAAAGAAAGGUUAAAUUUCUAUGAACUUUAACACUAUUCUAUAUUCAUGGAUCUAUCAAUUCAAUGUUAAUACAUGCAGAAGGUUGAUCUCAUCUCACCUUGAUUCAUCCGUAGAAAUGUG